This 547-nucleotide ribosomal RNA is filed under the name Candida albicans. Its description in RNAcentral is "partial large subunit ribosomal RNA". It matches the Rfam family "Eukaryotic large subunit ribosomal RNA", at positions 50 to 573 of the family's 3401-position model. The record is from RNAcentral. Lineage: Eukaryota; Fungi; Ascomycota; Pichiomycetes; Serinales; Debaryomycetaceae.
GCGGAGGAAAAGAAACCAACAGGGAUUGCCUCAGUAGCGGCGAGUGAAGCGGCAAAAGCUCAAAUUUGAAAUCUGGCGUCUUUGGCGUCCGAGUUGUAAUUUGAAGAAGGUAUCUUUGGGCCCGGCUCUUGUCUAUGUUCCUUGGAACAGGACGUCACAGAGGGUGAGAAUCCCGUGCGAUGAGAUGACCCGGGUCUGUGUAAAGUUCCUUCGACGAGUCGAGUUGUUUGGGAAUGCAGCUCUAAGUGGGUGGUAAAUUCCAUCUAAAGCUAAAUAUUGGCGAGAGACCGAUAGCGAACAAGUACAGUGAUGGAAAGAUGAAAAGAACUUUGAAAAGAGAGUGAAAAAGUACGUGAAAUUGUUGAAAGGGAAGGGCUUGAGAUCAGACUUGGUAUUUUGCAUGUUGCUCUCUCGGGGGCGGCCGCUGCGGUUUACCGGGCCAGCAUCGGUUUGGAGCGGCAGGAUAAUGGCGGAGGAAUGUGGCACGGCUUCUGCUGUGUGUUAUAGCCUCUGACGAUACUGCCAGCCUAGACCGAGGACUGCGGUU